RNAcentral lists this ribosomal RNA (497 nucleotides) under uncultured bacterium. RNAcentral describes it as "partial 16S ribosomal RNA". It matches the Rfam family "Bacterial small subunit ribosomal RNA", at positions 29 to 507 of the family's 1533-position model. The record is from RNAcentral.
AAUGAACGCUGGCGGCAGGCCUAAUACAUGCAAGUCGAUCGAUCAUACGAAGAGCUUGCUCCUCUUGCUUAAGCGGCGCACGCGGGAGUAACACGUCAGGAACCCACCUAUACGACUGGGGUUACUUCCUGAAACCGGAGGUUAUAACUGAUUAUAUAUGCAACAGCAUGGUUCAAUAACUACAGCCCGUUUUCCUGUGGCUUAUCCAUGGAGCCCCGCGGCAUUAGCUAGUUGGUAAGGUAACGGCUUACCAAGGCAACGAUGCGUAGCCGACCUGAGAGGGUGAUCGGCCACACUGGAACUGAGACACGGUCCAGACUCCUACGGGAGGCAGCAGUAGGGAAUAUUGCGCAAUGGGCGCAAGCCUGACGGAGCAAUGCCGCGUGAGUGAUGAAGGUCUUCGGAUCGUAAAACUCUGUCAUUAGGGAAGAACAAAUGUGUAAGUAAAUAUGCACGUCUUGACGGUACCUAAUCAGAAAGCAACGGCUAACUACGUG